This 253-nucleotide ribosomal RNA is filed under the name uncultured bacterium. RNAcentral describes it as "partial 16S ribosomal RNA". It matches the Rfam family "Bacterial small subunit ribosomal RNA", at positions 524 to 776 of the family's 1533-position model. The record is from RNAcentral.
UACGUAGGGUGCGAGCGUUAAUCGGAAUUACUGGGCGUAAAGCGUGCGCAGGCGGUUCGUUAAGUCAGCUGUGAAAGCCCCGGGCUCAACCUGGGAACUGCGGUUGAAACUGGCGAACUAGAAUCUGGCAGAGGGGGGUGGAAUUCCACGUGUAGCAGUGAAAUGCGUAGAUAUCUGGAGGAACACCGGUGGCGAAGGCGGCAUCCUGGACCGGUAUUGACGCUGAGGCGCGAAAGCCAGGGGAGCAAACGGG